GGGGUUGUGGCUCAGUGGUAGAGCACUCGUCUAGCAUGUGAGAGGCCCUGGGUUCAACCCUCAGCACCACA
Molecule: transfer RNA, 71 nt
Filed under: Marmota monax (woodchuck)
Lineage: Eukaryota; Metazoa; Chordata; Mammalia; Rodentia; Sciuridae
Description: tRNA.Ala
Rfam family: tRNA
About the family: Transfer RNA (tRNA) molecules are approximately 80 nucleotides in length. Their secondary structure includes four short double-helical elements and three loops (D, anti-codon, and T loops).
Source: RNAcentral